Rhineura floridana is the source of this 117-nucleotide small nuclear RNA. RefSeq annotates it as U5 spliceosomal RNA. NCBI's taxonomy places the organism in Eukaryota, Metazoa, Chordata, Lepidosauria, Squamata, Rhineuridae. The transcript has a single exon. The record is from RefSeq and is a predicted model, not a curated record.
AUACUCUGGUUUCUCUUCAGAUUGUAUAAAUCUUUUGCCUUUUAAUAAAUAUUUCUGUGGAGAGGAACAUGUAUGAGUUUCUGACUAAUUUUUGAAGUCCUGUUUAGAGAGCCGGUG